This 438-nucleotide long non-coding RNA is filed under the name Nicotiana tabacum (common tobacco). RNAcentral describes it as "long non-coding RNA (NTAB_LNC009622)". The record is from RNAcentral. Lineage: Eukaryota; Viridiplantae; Streptophyta; Magnoliopsida; Solanales; Solanaceae.
UUAAAUGUAUUCCCGCAUUUUACUGGUGGGCGACCUAGAACUUAAAUGUAUUCCCUCAUUAUACUGGUGGGCGACCUAGAACUUAAAAUGUAUUCCCGCAUUAUACUGGUGGGCGACCUAGAACUUAAAUGUAUUCCCGCAUUAUACUGGUGGGCGACCUAGAACUUAAAAUAUAUUCCCGCAUUAUACUGGCGGGCGACCUAGAACUUAAAAUGUAUUCCCGCAUUAUACUGGCGGGCGACCUAGAACUUAAAAGUAUUCCCGCAUUAUACUGGUGGGCGACCUAGAACUUAAAAUUAUUAAAAUUGCUUCCCCGUUCUUCCGAGAAAAUUUUCGACAAUCGGCAGAAAAUUUUCUGCCCCGGUUUUGGUGACUUCCCUGGCGUUGCAUCUCGCUGUCAUUAUCAAUCCUUUGUUUUCCUGCAGCAGACAAAAGGAU